This 301-nucleotide ribosomal RNA is filed under the name uncultured bacterium. Its description in RNAcentral is "partial 16S ribosomal RNA". It matches the Rfam family "Bacterial small subunit ribosomal RNA", at positions 509 to 808 of the family's 1533-position model. The record is from RNAcentral.
CAGCCGCCGCGGUAAUACGUAGGUCCCGAGCGUUGCCCGGAUUUAUUGGGCGUAAAGCGAGCGCAGGCGGUUAGAUAAGUCUGAAGUUAAAGGCUGUGGCUUAACCAUAGUACGCUUUGGAAACUGUCUAACUUGAGUGCAAGAGGGGAGAGUGGAAUUCCAUGUGUGGCGGUGAAAUGCGUAGAUAUAUGGAGGAACACCGGUGGCGAAAGCGGCUCUCUGGCUUGUAACUGACGCUGAGGCCCGAAAGCGUGGGGAGCAAACAGGAUUAGAUACCCCCGUAGUCCCUGUCUCUUAUACA